AUUAGAUACCCUGGUAGUUCACGCCGUAAACGAUGAGUGCUAAGUGUUAGAGGGUUUCCGCCCUUUAGUGCUGAAGUUAACGCAUUAAGCACUCCGCCUGGGGAGUACGGCCGCAAGGCUGAAACUCAAAGGAAUUGACGGGGGCCCGCACAAGCGGUGGAGCAUGUGGUUUAAUUUGAAGCAACGCGAAGAACCUUACCAGGUCUUGACAUCCUCUGAAAACCCUAGAGAUAGGGCUUCUCCUUCGGGAGCAGAGUGACAGGUGGUGCAUGGUUGUCGUCAGCUCGUGUCGUGAGAUGUUGGGUUAAGUCCCGCAACGAGCGCAACCCUUGAUCUUAGUUGCCAUCAUUAAGUUGGGCACUCUAAGGUGACUGCCGGUGACAAACCGGAGGAAGGUGGGGAUGACGUCAAAUCAUCAUGCCCCUUAUGACCUGGGCUACACACGUGCUACAAUGGACGGUACAAAGAGCUGCAAGACCGCGAGGUGGAGCUAAUCUCAUAAAACCGUUCUCAGUUCGGAUUGUAGGCUGCAACUCGCCUACAUGAAGCUGGAAUCGCUAGUAAUCGCGGAUCAGCAUGCCGCGGUGAAUACGUUCCCGGGCCUUGUACACACCGCCCGUCACACCACGAGAGUUUGUAACACCCGAAGUCGGUGGGGUAACCUUUUUGGAGCCAGCCGCCUAAGGUGGGACAGAUGAUUGGGGGAAGUCGAGCAA
This 716-nucleotide ribosomal RNA is filed under the name Bacillus cereus. RNAcentral describes it as "bacterial SSU rRNA". It matches the Rfam family "Bacterial small subunit ribosomal RNA", at positions 777 to 1494 of the family's 1533-position model. Lineage: Bacteria; Bacillati; Bacillota; Bacilli; Caryophanales; Bacillaceae. The record is from RNAcentral.